This 468-nucleotide ribosomal RNA is filed under the name uncultured bacterium. RNAcentral's name for it is "partial 16S ribosomal RNA". It matches the Rfam family "Bacterial small subunit ribosomal RNA", at positions 28 to 507 of the family's 1533-position model. The record is from RNAcentral.
GACGAACGCUGGCGGCGUGCUUAACACAUGCAAGUCGAACGGAAAGGCCCUGCUUUUGUGGGGUGCUCGAGUGGCGAACGGGUGAGUAACACGUGAGUAACCUGCCCUUGACUUUGGGAUAACUUCAGGAAACUGGGGCUAAUACCGGAUAGGAGCUCAUGCUGCAUGGUGGGGGUUGGAAAGUUUCGGCGGUUGGGGAUGGACUCGCGGCUUAUCAGCUUGUUGGUGGGGUAGUGGCUUACCAAGGCUUUGACGGGUAGCCGGCCUGAGAGGGUGACCGGCCACAUUGGGACUGAGAGACGGCGCAGACUCCUACGGGAGGCAGCAGUGGAGAAUAUUGCACAAUGGGCGGAAGCCUGAUGCAGCAACGCCGCGUGCGGGAUGACGGCCUUCGGGUUGUAAACCGCUUUCGCCUGUGACGAAGCGUGAGUGACGGUAAUGGGUAAAGAAGCACCGGCUAACUACGUG